UGGAAAACCGGAGACAAUGCUGACUGAUUUUCUACUUCUGAACUAAUUGAUUCUGGACAUUCAGAAACCAGAGAUGAGGUCGAGAAUGUAGGUGAUUCUGAACACUUCGCUCUUUUGAUAGGGUUACCAAGAUCGUCAUCCGUGGUUGUUUCAAUGUUGUAAUCUAUUUUCUGCCAACACAAGGACUAUAAUUCAGCAAGUACAAGCAUGUUUGUUUCACCGGCAGAAAACUUGUAGAAGCUAUGGAAAAUUUACCUCCUCAUCGAUAUAUUCAGAUGAUUUUGCUUCCUCUUCCUCACAGAAAUAAGCAAUCCAAGAUUCAAUAUGUGAUGCUAUAAUGGAUCAUGCAUGCUUGUUUCAUCGGCACUGGAAGAAAACGUAUAGAAGCUAUGGAAAAUUUACCUCAUUAUCGAUUGAUUCAGAUGAUUUUGCUUCCUCACAGGCAAGAAACUGAACAUAGUACACGGCGUACCUUGUGGAACACAGCCAGUUGGCGUUCUGUUAAAUUCUGCUCAAGAGAACUCGUGUGGAUAUCGGACGAAGUCGGUAGAACGGCGGCGUCUAAAGGAAUCUUCUGUUGAGGUCCUCAAUCUCCUGGAUGUGGUGCGAUCGAAGGGAGAAGUGGUACGUACGAAACAAUCGAGUAUAGGUCCAUCAGCUGAAAGCCCAUAACGGGCGCUCGGCAGGGGUCUUUUUGGGCUGCUGGAGCCCAGCCCAGGACAACCACGCGACGGGAGAGAUCGAAAUCUUUUCUGUGCAACGACUAAACGAAUCGUUAUGUACUUAUGUAAC
Molecule: long non-coding RNA, 792 nt
Organism: Lolium rigidum
Lineage: Eukaryota; Viridiplantae; Streptophyta; Magnoliopsida; Poales; Poaceae
Exons: 4
Source: RefSeq, a predicted model, not a curated record